RNAcentral lists this microRNA precursor (200 nucleotides) under Glycine max (soybean). RNAcentral's name for it is "miR9727 stem-loop (gma-MIR9727)". The record is from miRBase by way of RNAcentral. Lineage: Eukaryota; Viridiplantae; Streptophyta; Magnoliopsida; Fabales; Fabaceae.
UGCACAUAUAAAAAAUAUAAAAGGAAUAAAAGAUGUAGAUGAAGUUACUCUGAGCACUGAGAGUCAUAUGUAUAGAAAUCAUUUCCUUGUCAUCUCUAUUUAUAGAGUUGAGUUGGAGAUUUUCAUACAUGUGCCUCUUCGUCGCUCAGAUUAACUUCAUCUUGGUCUCUUCACUCCUUACCAUUUUUUGUGUGUCUGCA